UCCUUUUCAGUCGCGCUUCAAGAGCAACUAGUACCUUGAGCGUGUUGGUGUUCCUGUGUUGGAUGCAUGCCUAACGUGACGGAAAUUGGCCCCGGAUGAGUCCUAAUCUUCGACUCUCACCAAUUGGUGGUGUUUUAGGUUGAGGUGGAAGUACUGCCCAUUCUCCUUGAAUGCUUUGACCUUGUGGCGUUGCAAUCAUGGCCCAUGGGUUGCUACUAGUUCCCUCGGAUGCAGAACUUUUCGAUGGGUGGUGCACAGUAAGUUGGCCACAAAGCGUUCAUCGGUCGGUGCGUACGACAGCUGUGCCCGUCUUGNUCCCCUCUCUAACUAGUUUAGAUGGGUCUCAUGCGGUGCCGGCGUCGCGAAGGAAUGCUACCUGGUUGAUCCUGCCAGUAGUCAUAUGCUUGUCUCAA
This 413-nucleotide unclassified non-coding RNA is filed under the name Pycnandra filipes. RNAcentral describes it as "Leptostylis filipes partial contains external transcribed spacer and 18S ribosomal RNA; ETS". Lineage: Eukaryota; Viridiplantae; Streptophyta; Magnoliopsida; Ericales; Sapotaceae. The record is from RNAcentral.